GAGGGUAUAGCUCAGUGGUAGAGUGCAUGCUUAGCAUGCACGAGGUCCUGGGUUCAAUCCCCAGUACCUCUA
Molecule: transfer RNA, 72 nt
Organism: Camelus ferus (Wild Bactrian camel)
Lineage: Eukaryota; Metazoa; Chordata; Mammalia; Artiodactyla; Camelidae
Rfam family: tRNA
About the family: Transfer RNA (tRNA) molecules are approximately 80 nucleotides in length. Their secondary structure includes four short double-helical elements and three loops (D, anti-codon, and T loops). Further hydrogen bonds mediate the characteristic L-shaped molecular structure. tRNAs have two regions of fundamental functional importance: the anti-codon, which is responsible for specific mRNA codon recognition, and the 3' end, to which the tRNAs corresponding amino acid is attached (by aminoacyl-tRNA synthetases). tRNAs cope with the degeneracy of the genetic code in two manners: having more than one tRNA (with a specific anti-codon) for a particular amino acid; and 'wobble' base-pairing, i.e. permitting non-standard base-pairing at the 3rd anti-codon position.
Source: Rfam